CCCCUCUCAAGGUCACACCUGAAGAGUUUCCAGUACUCUACCAGUUAUGACUACAGGAGGGAGAGUCUAACAGAGCCAUACCCAUUCCAUUCCUAGCUUAGUCAGUGGCUAGUGAGUGGAAGGCCAUCUGCUACAAAU
This is a small nucleolar RNA of Ornithorhynchus anatinus (platypus), 138 nucleotides long. The record is from RefSeq and is a predicted model, not a curated record. Lineage: Eukaryota; Metazoa; Chordata; Mammalia; Monotremata; Ornithorhynchidae.